Molecule: ribosomal RNA, 372 nt
Filed under: uncultured organism
Description: partial 16S ribosomal RNA
Rfam family: Bacterial small subunit ribosomal RNA
Source: RNAcentral
GUAGGUGGCAAGCGUUGUCCGGAAUUAUUGGGCGUAAAGCGCGCGCAGGCGGUCCUUUAAGUCUGAUGUGAAAGCCCACGGCUCAACCGUGGAGGGUCAUUGGAAACUGGGGGACUUGAGUACAGAAGAGGAAAGCGGAAUUCCAGGUGUAGCGGUGAAAUGCGUAGAGAUUUGGAGGAACACCAGUGGCGAAGGCGGCUUUCUGGUCUGUAACUGACGCUGAGGCGCGAAAGCGUGGGGAGCAAACAGGGAUUAGAUACCCUGGUAGUCCAUGCCGUAAACGAUGAGUGCUAAGUGUUAGGGGGUUUCCGCCCCCUUAGUGCUGCAGCUAACGCAUUAAGCACUCCGCCUGGGGAUACGGCCGCAAGGCUG